UUCCCGCUAUAUUUUUAAAUCCUUAUAAUCGUGGUAGUGAAAAUAUGUACAUAAUAAUAAUAUACUACUACAAUUCGAAGGUUUGCAGUGAUUAGUCGAUUUACGUAAUUUGUUAAUUUAAAGAUCAUUGCCAAUUUUUAAAACUUAACAAAUUUGUUUUUGUUAUAAGUAUAACAUUGUCAUGAAAAAUAUUAAUAUGUCAUUAAUUAAUGUCGAUAAUGACAACAUUUGUAACCAAAAUAACAUGGUCAUGACACAAUUUAUAUUAUUUUUAGUUUUUAAUGCAAUAAUGAUGUAAAUAAUACUGAAUUAUAUUUACUAUUCAAACAUUUAAAAGGUGAUUGUUUCUACCAAGAAUUCACAGGUAAAAUUACUUAGUUCAUGCCCAUUUUAUUGAUGUUUUUUUUUUUUUUAUAUUAUAUGCUUUUAAGUAUUUAUCUUAAUUUGUAAAACAAAAUCACAACUGAAAGUUUACAAUUUAUGAAAAUAUAUCAUUUGGUUAAAUUGUGUCCCAAAACUAUGAUUGGUCAAAGAAUCAUUUUUGAACAUAAAUUAACCAAUUGGCAAACAAAUAAGUGUAGUGUAACUGUAAGUAGGUACUUAAUAGCAUCAUAACCAGACAUACCUCAUUCAAUGCUCGGCCUUUGAUAUAAAUCCUAUAUAAAUAGGAACUUUAUUAAUUAUAUAGAUGCAUACAAUGUAAUAUUUAGAAAUAGUUUUAUAACUGAUAAGCAUUAGGAAAUAAAUUGUUUUAAUUAACAUGCACACACGUUUACUUAUUUAAUUAAAAUAUUCAAAAAUAAUUGACAAUUAUUUACUAUAAUUGUUAUAGAUUAAAACAGAAAUAAAUCCGAAGAAAAUGAUCAUAAUGAGGAAGAAUUAGACAUAGAAGAAAAAGAAUAUUUGGGGGAAGAAGAUGACGGAUCAGAACUCUGUGGAGGUAAAUCUCCAACAGCGUCAUCGUUUGGUAAAUAUUAUGAAUUUGUUUACUUUAAAUUGGUUUUAUUUUUUUUGUUAUGUAAAGGUUUUAUAUAGAUUUUAAAAAAAGUGACGAAUUUUCAUAUGUAGACGAAAGUAUAACUACUAUGGACUAUAAUUAAUUGUUUUAUAGUUUGUACAAUUCAGUGCUACAUUUACUCAGUAACUCUUGUUUGAUAGAAAUGUUUUUCAAGAUGGCAUUUUUUUUUUCAAUAUAUGUUUGAUGUGGUGUAAAACCAAAGCUUUUUUAUACCAAAUGAUUAAGAUUGUUGAUUUCUUUUUAGAUUUAAAAUAUGAUAUUUUUAAUAAUUGUUUUGUGUACAUUUUAUUAAGUCUAUAAAACAUUUUUGACUAGAAUAAAUAUUAUAAACUUGAUUACCUAUUGAUUUAUGUUCAAAAAAAAAAAAAAGAAAGAUAUUUUAAGUGGUCAUAUUCGUCAAAUAAUGGCGAAUGCAUUUUUUUUAUCUACAUUUUUCUCAUUACACCAUUGGAUCGAAAUUAGUAUCAUAAACAUUUU
Molecule: non-coding RNA, 1495 nt
Organism: Cinara cedri
Lineage: Eukaryota; Metazoa; Arthropoda; Insecta; Hemiptera; Aphididae
Source: the annotation of a GenBank genome assembly